UAUGUAUGUAUUUGUAUUGUAGAAUGGUAUAGAGCAAAAGAAAAGGAAUGGAUUUGAUUAGUGCAGUACAUUUUCCAAAUGGCGCAUGUACCGCUCAGCUGGAAAAUAUUCAUUUGCGCGAAGUAAUAGAGAAUGCAUUUUUAUUUGGCGACUUUUUAUAGUAUUAACAAAGUGGUGGACACUGUCUCGGUGAUUCUAUAGGAAACGGCGUCUUUGUAGCACCUGCCGUUGGACCCUCCUAAACUCGAGACAAUCGCUGCUGUCACAUCAGACACACAACCGUACCUCUUUGAUCUGUCAACAAAUAAAUUUUGCCUUUUGUACACCACAAAUACUUAUUUUAAGAUAUUGUGAUUUUACCUUUCAUUGUGCAAGUACAUGGAAUUUAAUUACAAGUGCACGCUCGCCAUUAUAGACAGAAAAAAACUUUCAAAUAAAAAAUGGAAUUUUUAUUAGCAAUAGUGGCUGUGACGUUAUCACAUUUUUGCUGCAUGUAAUCAAAGAUGAAUGAUUUUUUGAUUUAAUGAGCAACGAUCAAGAGAGCAGGGUAAAGACUGUGUAGCGAUAGCUUUAGAACUGAAAACCAUGGAGGCUGUACGAGACGAGGACCGAGCCAGACGUCUGCGAGCUCUUGAAGAUCGCAUAAAAGAUCCUCGCAGUAAUGCAAAUAUUGAUUGUUUAUUAGAUACCGUACAGGCUCUUGUAGCAGACUGUGAUCACCCUAGCGUAAAGCGCAUGAAAAACAUUGAGACAUUCAUGAACAGAUAUGACACGGUUGCUCAAGAAAUUCAUAAAAUGCGAAUGCGAACAGAUGACUUCAAUUUGAUAAAAGUUAUUGGUCGUGGAGCAUUUGGUGAAGUACAGUUAGUCAGACACAAAUCCACUCAAAAAGUUUUUGCUAUGAAGAUUCUCAGCAAAUUUGAAAUGAUAAAACGAUCUGAUUCGGCUUUCUUUUGGGAGGAAAGAGAUAUAAUGGCUCACGCAAAUUCUGAAUGGAUUGUUCAACUGCAUUUUGCCUUCCAAGAUCACAAAUAUCUUUAUAUGGUUAUGGAUUAUAUGCCAGGUGGUGAUUUAGUAAACAUGAUGUCUAAUUAUGAUGUGCCAGAGAAGUGGGCACAAUUCUAUUGUGCAGAAGUGGUACUCGCGCUGGAUGCGAUACAUAAUAUGGGGUUCGUUCAUAGAGACGUUAAACCAGACAAUAUGCUUCUUGAUAAGCAAGGUCACUUGAAACUAGCAGACUUUGGUACAUGUAUGCGAAUGGAUGCUGACGGUUUAGUACGCUCCGAUACUGCAGUAGGUACACCCGAUUAUAUAUCACCCGAAGUACUUCAGUCGCAAGGUGGAGAAGGCGUGUAUGGUCGCGAAUGCGAUUGGUGGUCGGUUGGAGUUUUUCUUUAUGAAAUGUUAGUUGGUGACACUCCUUUUUAUGCAGACUCGCUAGUGGGAACUUAUUCAAAAAUUAUGGAUCAUCGGAAUUCUCUUCAUUUUCACGCAGACGUCGACAUAACUCCAGCAGCUAAGAGUCUCAUUUGUGGAUUCCUUACUGAUAGGACAAGGCGUUUAGGUAGCAAUGGAGUCGAUGAAAUUAAGAAUCAUCCAUUCUUUAAAAAUGAUCAAUGGACUUUUGACACUUUGAGAGAAAGUGUCCCACCAGUGGUGCCAGAAUUGUCAGGUGACGAUGACACGAGUAAUUUUGAUGACUUGGAAAAGGAAGACGGUCCAGAAGAGAGUUUCCCCAUUCCGAAAGCAUUUUCGGGAAAUCAUUUACCAUUUAUUGGAUUUACUUACUCGGGAGAUUAUCAGUUAAUGGUUAAUAACAGUAGAGAAUCAGUCGAUGGUCUUGAGAAUCAUAUCAACAAUGGUAUCAGUGAUGAAGGGAGAAUAGCACAGUUAGAAAAUUUACUCGAACGAGAGAGACGGCAGAUGGAAAAUUUAGAAAUAAGACAUCGAACUUUAACAGCUCAAUUGGAGGCACUUACUGAGCGAGAAGCUCAACUCAGAGAGGAGGCAGGUAGAGCUGAUAAGGAAUUGGCACUUUUAAGACAUAGUCAUAAAGAAGCACAACGACGUGUUGAACAGGAAGCGGAUGUUCGUAGAAAAGCAGAGGCGUUACUUAUGGAGUUGAAGAAAAAAUUCGACGAGGAGCAAACGAGGAGAGUGAGGGAUGCAAGCAAUUCACAACAAACGUCUGAACGCAUCACUAGUUUAGAGAAACAGGUUAAAGAGAUGCAAGCGAAACUUGAAAGAGAAACAGAAACGGUGAGCAGGUUGCGAAAACAAUCAACAGAAGUAACUGUCGCUCGACAAGCGGCAGAACAAAUGGCCAAUGAAUUACAAAUGGCUAGAACUCAAUUACAGGCGCAAAGGGAUUCCUUACAACAAGAAGUUGCAGCCUUACAGGGUCAAUUGUCAAAAGAAAGAAGUUCCCGGUCUCAAGCAUCUUCCUUCACUGCCGAACUGGAAACAAAACUUUCGGCUUUACAUCAGGAACUUGAACACAGUCGUGAAAGAGAAGGAAAAGCUACUUUAGAUAACAGGCAACUGAACGAAAGGAUUUCAGAACUAGAAAAAGAGGCAGCUACCUUAACUCUUGAAUUGAAAGCAGCACAAGCUAGAUAUGAUCAAGAAGUCGUAGCUCAUCAGGAGACAGAAAGGUCGAGAAUGCUCUCAAAAGAAGAAGCUAAUCUCGAAGUUGUUAAAGCUCUGCAAGCAAAAUUAAAUGAAGAAAAGUGCGGUAGGCAACGAGCAGAAUCUCUCGCUCAAGAAAAAGAACGCCAAACUUCCAUGUUAUCUGUGGACUAUCGGCAAAUUCAGCAACGUUUACAGAAACUUGAAGGCGAACAUCGACAAGAAGUGGAGAAAGUCAAAGUACUGCAAGGUCAAGCAGACCAGGAACAACAGAAGAGGAACAAUUUACAAACAGAAUUAGCUCAACAAUCGUCUGAAGCUGGACGAUUACGAGCUCGAGAACAACAAUUGAUGGAUGAGGUUGCGCAGUUAAGAGAAUCAAAACGACAAAUCGAGGAAGAAUUACACCAUUUGAAAACCCAAAGAAACGUCGAUCAACUUCAAAUGAAAGAACUUCAAGAACAACUGGAAGCUGAAGCAUAUUUCUCGACUUUAUAUAAAACACAGACCCAAGAGCUCCGUGAAGAGCUUGAUGAUAAAACCAGAUCACAUCAAGAACUAGAAGAAGAACGAAAUUCAUUUUGUCAUCAACUCGAACUUGCUCUUGCUAGAGGAGAUGCUGAAGCUUUAGCAAGAUCAAUUGCUGAAGAAACAGUGGCUGAUUUAGAAAAAGAAAGGACUAUGAAAGAAUUAGAAUUUAAAGACAGUAUAGCCAAACAUCAUCAAGAAUUAAAUGCAAAAGAGCAAAUGGUCAAUAGAUUAAAGGAUAAUGAAUUAGAAAUGAAGAAAACAGUAGAUCAAUAUUUAAAAGAGAAGGAAGACUUAAAUAAACGUUACAAAGAAAUUCAGGACCAACUCAACAAAGAACAAUCAAAUGUCGAUGAAAUUGAAAGACUAAGCAGCAAACUGAAGACAGAACAGCUUCUCAAGUUACAAGCUGUAAAUAAAUUGGCAGAAAUAGUGAAUCGAAAAGAUUUGUCAAUUGGUGGAAAGACGAAAAAUAAAGCAUCUUCUGCGGAUUUAAGGAAAAAAGAAAAAGAAUGUCGAAGGCUUCAACAAGAACUCACGCAAGAAAGAGAGAAAUACGGGCAAUUGGCUGCUAAAUGGCAAAAAGAUCUCCAGGAUUUGCAAGCACAACUUGUUGAAGAAAAUCAGUCCAAGUUGAAGCUUCAAAUGGAACUUGAUUCGAAGGACUCUGAAAUAGAAACACUUCAAAUGAAAAUAACGUCCAUUAAUUCAGAGACGGCUAGCGUUUCGUCUGUAGAAAACGAUGGAGAAGACUCGGUUUUGUCCGAGCAUGGUGCCAUGAGAUUAGAGGGUUGGUUAAAUAUUCCCAAUAAGCAAAACAUUAAAAGACACGGUUGGAAGAAACAAUACGUCGUUGUGUCAUCGAAGAAAAUUAUUUUUUAUAAUAGUGAAAGCGACAAAAUUAAUGCUGAUCCUGUUUUGAUAUUGGAUUUGAGUAAAGUUUUUCAUGUUAGAUCUGUUACUCAAGAAGACGUGAUUCGAGCCGAUGCCAAAGAUAUUCCUAGGAUAUUUCAGUUGUUAUAUGCUGGUGAAGGCGAAGCAAGACGCCCUGGUGACGAAGGUAAUUCUUUGCCAGGAGUGGAACUUCCUCAAUUGACUGAUAAAUCGAUUCCUCAACCACUUAAAGGCCAUGAAUUUAUUUCCAUUUCCUAUCACAUGCCAACGACUUGUGAAGUAUGUUCAAAGCAAUUGUGGCAUAUGUUUCGUCCACCACCUGCUCUUGAGUGUAGAAGAUGUCAUAUAAAAGUUCAUAAGGAGCAUUUAGAUAAAAAAGAAAACGCCAUAGCUCCGUGCAAAUUGCAUUAUGAUCCUAAUAGCGCUCGAGAAUUAUUGGUUCUCGCGGGAAGUCCUGAUGAUCAGAAAUAUUGGGUAACACGAUUAUCGAGAAGAAUUCAAAAGUAUGGAUACAAAGCAAAUUCACACAUGGAUGGAGCAGGACAACGUGUUUCACCAAGGUAGCGUAGCAGAGCAGCUCAACUGGGAACUAAAUUGCUCUUUUGUGUUGUGUCAUCGCAUGAUUGGGUGUAGAGAGAGAAUCUACGAGGUCAACGCUCAAGCCUUAUUUGUCAGUACAACAAAGAUCUGCUACAUUACCUGCGAAUGCGAGUAUGGGCAAGUGACUGCCAUUAAUUCGAUGACAUUUUUUAGUGUCGUCACUCAUGUGUCAAUAAAACGACAAACUUUUGUUUGUUGACUACAAUGCCCAAUCAAAUCAGAUAAUCGUAAUUUAUCUACUACUGUGCCACGUAUGUGAUUUUUCACUUGAGAAUUAUUGCAAAAUCUGUAAAAAUGUAAUCUUUUCCAUAAUAUUUUUACACUUUUCGUACGAACGUUUACUAAAUAACUUUUAUAGCUGAAAAGUAGUCUUGUAUUUUUGUCAUAAUUAUAUUUUUUCAUCAAGACAAAUACACCUGAGCUCAUGUUUGCAUAAAUCGCAUAAAUUUUUUCACUUCAUCGUUCAAAUUAUUGAAUGUUUAAGACAGCUAUUUUUCUAUUCGUUUUAUAUAAAUAAUGAUCUUUCUAAAAGGUAUACAGAUAAAAGAAUAGGCUGUACAAUAAUUUUAGAAUUCUUAUCCUUUCAAAAGUAAUCCACAUAUGUGCUUUAACUAGUGAUUUUAAUGCAUUUGUAAAAUUGGGGAAAAAGAUUUUCAUUUACAAAACUUGAGGGUCGACAUAUAUUUUUUUAAUGGUUUAAUCGUGCAAAUAGACGUAUAGUUUGCAAAAUAUGUACGAAAACGGAAAAAUACAAUACUUUUGCUUACUAUUUGUACUUAUCAAAAAUAAUUCAUGUUACAAUAUUAUUGAAUAAAUACUAUUUUUGCGCUUAGUAAUGUACUGAACAAUAUAUUAUCAAACAAGAACUUUAAAAAUUGUAAAUACAAUUGAAAUUUCACAAAAAAUUGAAUACACAAGAACAAACAAAUAAACAAUCAAAUUUGAUUUAUCUUAAUUUCUAGAAAAAUUUUAAUAUUGUUAUAAACAAUAAUUUGUGUGUACAUAUGUAUUUUCACACUUCGAAUUGUAACUUAAUCAAUGUGUUAAUUAACUAUGUAAAAAUGAAGUUAAUUAAAGACACAAAGCCGAAAUAAAUUUCUGUUAACACUUUAAAACAGAAAAAACUAUUAAUUGUUUUUACAAAAUAAUGAAAUUAGUACAUUACUUUUGUGCAGAGAGCGUACGAUUUUCAGAUGACACAAAUUGAAAGAAUAUUUAUUUUUUUUCAUACGAAUUUGCUAUUGGAAGAAAAUUUUAUGAAUUAUUUGGGAGAAGAAACAUCUGAUCGUGAGCUUUGUAUAGUAAGAAUAAUUUAUAAUCUAAUCUUUAAAGAUUUACAUUAAUAUAUAAUAAUAAUAAUAAUGAUAAUAAUAGUAAUAGUAAAAUUUAUAAUAUUUGAGAAGAGCUGUAAUUAUUCAAAGAAUCUCUGAAUUUCAUGAGUAAGGUUUAACUUGGGCCAAAUUCAGUAAUCAAUAACUGUCUUAUCUGUUUAUAUCUCAAUCACUGGUGCUUCCUUUCGAGGAUAAGACAUAUACAUGCUGUUAAUCCUAAGUCGAACAUACGUAAUUGUUUUCGACAGUUUUUAUAUCACAUAACUUUUAAGAAAAGAGUAGAAAGUACGUAUCUUUUCUUGCGUUUUGUGAAGCUUGCAAAAAGCGCUUUAAAGGAUACGUACUUUUUUUUAAAAAAAAAAAAAAAAAAAAAAGUUUUGCUAUUUCCAAACUGUACAAAACGCAAAUAUACUUAUGUAUUCAACUUUGGAUGAACAAUUACAAUUUUAAUGUGAAAUGUUUACUGAUUAUAAUGUGCCUUUUCCUGUUUGUUUCUUAUUGAAAAUUAAAAAUGUCAGUUCAUUGGAACUUGCUAAGUAUAGUACAUAUACAGACGAAAAAGAGAGAGAAUUAUAGUGAAUUUGUUGCUACAUGUUAUGGUUUAGUCAUUUACAACUUGUAUAUUUAUAAUAUUACGAUUAAAACUAUUUUGUAGAUAAUAUAUCAAA
Molecule: RNA transcript, 6649 nt
Organism: Leptopilina boulardi
Lineage: Eukaryota; Metazoa; Arthropoda; Insecta; Hymenoptera; Figitidae
Gene name: rho-associated protein kinase 1
Exons: 13
Source: RefSeq, a predicted model, not a curated record